This 251-nucleotide long non-coding RNA is filed under the name Sorghum bicolor (sorghum). Its description in RNAcentral is "long non-coding RNA (SBIC_LNC001595)". Lineage: Eukaryota; Viridiplantae; Streptophyta; Magnoliopsida; Poales; Poaceae. The record is from RNAcentral.
AUGUAGAUUAUAAACAUAUGGGCUUAUGAAGUGUUCAUAUGAUAUAACAACACAUCGUGCAAAGGUAGUGAAAGCAUCUUUUUUAUAUUUUUACACACUUAAAUUGAUGCUAAACUAUUUAGCUAGCAUAAAUUUAGGUAAAAUAGUAAAUCAAUGAGAUAUGUAGGAAUAAUGCUAAAACUUUUACCACAAAUCAAGCAUCACAUUAAAUAGGCUACCAUAAAAUUUUGGAGCAAGAUAACUCAUAGGCA